Molecule: ribosomal RNA, 254 nt
Filed under: uncultured bacterium
Lineage: Bacteria
Description: partial 16S ribosomal RNA
Rfam family: Bacterial small subunit ribosomal RNA
Source: RNAcentral
UACGGAGGAGGCAAGCGUUAUCCGGAAUUAUUGGGCGUAAAGCGUCCGUAGUUGGUCGUUUCAAGUCUGCUGUCAAAGACCGGGGCUUAACCCCAGAAAGGCGGUGGAAACUGAACAGCUAGAGAGAGGUAGGGGUAGAGGGAAUUCCCAGUGUAGCGGUGAAAUGCGUAGAUAUUGGGAAGAACAUCAGUGGCGAAAGCGCUCUACUGGACCUUAUCUGACAUUGAGGGACGAAAGCUAGGGGAGCGAAUGGG